GAUGGCAAAGACUUUGUUGUCUCUAUUUUUGGUAGUCGCCUUCUUUAUCAUUUCACAAGAUGUGGUGACAGCACAAUGUCAGUGCAAAGGAGAUUGUAAUAAUACAUGUGAAUCUGGUCUUCCAACUUGUGUUGAUGGGUUUUGUGUAUGUUUAGCUCUCGAGACAUAUUCCACCAUUCAUAAAGAUGUGGUGAAAGCAGAAGAGUGUGACUGUCAAAAUAAAGCAGAUUGUCGUCAGCCAUGUGAAUCUGGGCUUCCAACUUGUGUUGAUGGGUUUUGUGUAUGUUUAGCUCUCGAGACAUAUUCCACCAUUCAUAAAGGUUAAGGUGGCGGUCUUGGUGGCAAGUAUGAACCUUGCAAGAGUUCUCGUAGUUAUUAAAAAUAAAGAAUGCCUCAUUGGCGGAUGAGGUUUAUAUUUAAUUUGAUGAUGUUUACUUAGAAAAAAUAAAUGACAAUGA
Nicotiana tabacum (common tobacco) is the source of this 458-nucleotide long non-coding RNA. RefSeq lists it as uncharacterized. NCBI's taxonomy places the organism in Eukaryota, Viridiplantae, Streptophyta, Magnoliopsida, Solanales, Solanaceae. The record is from RefSeq and is a predicted model, not a curated record.